Molecule: non-coding RNA, 762 nt
Organism: Lactuca sativa (garden lettuce)
Lineage: Eukaryota; Viridiplantae; Streptophyta; Magnoliopsida; Asterales; Asteraceae
Source: RefSeq, a predicted model, not a curated record
CUAGAUUAAGUGAACAAAGUUGUGAUUUACCCUUAAAAGCAUUAGAGUAUGAAGAAUCUGAAGCUUGAAGGGCAAUGCAUUGGUGACAAGAUGAAUACACAAAAACGAGGUAAGGUCCACUAUAAUAUCUUUUUGAGUUUAAUUCAAUUUUUGAAAGUUUUAUUAAAUCUAUUAGCAACAUGUUUGCUUAGCAUUUUCAAAAGUUAUUUUCUUCUAUCAAAUCUAUGGGUAGAAGCUUCUUUUUGCAACUUGCAGGUAUUAUGAUAAAACACAACAUUGCGGCGACAUCUACUUCAGAUGAGAAGAAUACUGCUUCUACUUGGUACAUUUUGGUUUCCUUCAAGAUGAUUGUUGGGUUUUUUUUGUUCAAUUUGGUACAUUGCAUUUUUGAUAGGGUUGAGGUUUUAACCCGUUGGAUUGUUUACGUUUGCUGUGUGUUCUCUUUGUUCAGACUAUAUCCGGUCUCGGCUAACUGGUGAACUUUCUGUUCAGAUUCUGGAAGCAACAGUUGGAAAAUAUAACUCAAAGCUCUUCUCAUUCUGAAAUGGUGUUUCUAGGUUUUGGUUUCAGCUUUCUGAGUUCUAAUGAAUAAUAUCAUGUGGUUGAGUUUGUAGAGGCGGGUGUAUGCCAUGGGUUUGCAGUUUGGAUAUUAUAGAUUGGGUGAUGGAUUCAAGUAACAACAUUGUCAUGUCAACCGUCCCAAGAGGUAACUACUAACAUCUAACAUCUAACAUAACAUGUUAUGCUUAAUGAUUCUCAUCA